CUCUGGUUCCUCUCCUCCCCUAACCCCCAACCGCGCAGCUCUCCACCAGCACCGCUCAUCCUGCUUCGAAUGAGGGCUCCGCCCUCCAGGUGACUUGCAGUUCUUAACCCCGAGGGCCCCGAAGGGGGUGGUGGCUAGGGGACGGCAUCUUGGAAUCAUACAGUUACAGGUUCGAAUCCUGCUUCUCGCUGUAAAGAAUUAACGCGCAUUUAAUAAUUCGGAGAUGGGCGGCAUUGCCUAGCGGUCAAAGAGCCGCCCCUCCGCCCCCUUCUGGCUUCGUGAUCCUCCGGCAGUCGACUUCACUCUCAGGGCUCCACGGUGCAAAGAAGUGGCUCACUGCCUUGGUAGAGAGCGUUCCCCUGCCUGGGAGUUCCCUAUGCCACUGAAAUCACAGAGGCCCGUCACCAUCCCUGUGAGGCAGGCCCUGCCAGGUUCCAAAAACAAGAACCAGUAGUUGCUGCCCUCCAACAAAAGCACACCCGAAAGUGAAUGCAGACUCGUCGAGGGGAAGGGGCAGUAAGUAAAGGCACCAGGAGCAGGUGCCAUUGGAGAUGUAUGAAAGCAGUUCAGAGUUCCAGGAGGUGGAGGCAGAAACUAGGUUCCCUUGCCUACUCGCUAGUGCUAUAUUCAUAGGCAAGUCUUGGAGGCAUUCUCACGUUCCUCUUCUAACUCCAGUACCUACCUUGCAAGAGCUGCUGUAAGGGACAAAUAAGGUAAUUCACGGUAGAGUGGGAAGGAUCCUGGUCCUGGGUUCAAAUCCCUAUUCUCCUGAUUACUACCAGCGUGUCAUGGUACUUCACUUUUCUUGGGUUCCUGUCUCAUCUACAGAGUGAUAGAAUUUGACUAGAUAACCUCUCGGGCUAUUUCCAGCUCUAAAUCUAUCACAAUCCAAAGCUUAAAAUGCUAUCUAAAUGCCAGCUCUCUCUGUUUCAAUUAUUUCUAAACACCCUUUCCAAACAACCUCCGAGCCUUCAUAGGAAUGAGGUCCAUCCCGGCAACUGAUUAGCCAGAUGCAAUAAAGGCCAAGUUAGUAAUAAGUCAUGGUUCCAUAGCGCUUUAAGCUUACCAAGUACUUUCCUCAAAGUAACCUGUAAGGUAAGCAGUGGGAGCGUUAUUAAGCCUAUAUUACAGAUGGAAAAACUAAGGUUCGCAGAAAUGAUUUGACAAAAGUCAAACAGCAAGAUGGGCUGCAAACCCAGGUUUACUGAUUCCAGAUCCAGCUGCAAGACAAAGAACAAACCGUGGAGCCCUGUGGAGAGGUGCCUGUCACGAGCCAACUGCAAGUGAAGGGCACGAAAUAGAACUGGAAGCCUUGCUUGGCGGGCUGAUCUGCUGACGGAGUGAUCUGUCUAGACAGAAUCUGCUGUUUGUGCCUACCUUGUCACUAGUGGGACCUGGUGAAUUUGUCCGCUUUCCUCUUCCUGUCCCGUUGUGUCCUGAUGAACUGGCAUCACUGGUUUUCCUGCUCUCUUUAAACUACUUUCUGUCCACCCCAAGAACAUGAAGACUUCCCAUGUGGAAUAGGUGGAUGUGAACAAUCUGUUCCAACAAAGCCAUGAAGGCAGCAGAAGCAGGCACUGUGGAGUGCAUAGAGCUUGGUCAGAUGUCAAAGAGCCCAAAGUCAUUGAUUGACAGUUAAUGCUUCCACGUCUCGACUUUCCUCAUCGUGUUGUUAAUAUAUUUUGAGUCAGCACAAGACAUUAAGUGAGAAUUUGAGGGGAGUUCUGCAAAAGUUGCAGAGGACACAUGAAGGCCAGCAGAUGACAAAGAAAAGGUUUAGAAACAGAAAUGCAUAAAACAUAUAGUAUUUUUACUUAACUUUGACCUACAUAUUGCCUAUGACCAAAUACUUAACCCAAAUUUUACAGUAAAGUACUGUAAACACCGCAUAAAAGAAAAAGAAAAAAUUCAGAUUUCUUCUCUGAUAUGAAGGGAGAGCCAAAAAAUUUUACAUGCAUUUUCCAGAUUACCAGGGUGUGGUGCCUCUAACCCUGGCAGUGUGGAAGGGAUAACUGUACUGCAUCCCAAGCUAUCACCAGUUGUCUUGUCAAGGAUUUCAAUGACUUUGGAAGAGAUGUGAGGCAGAACUGCACAAAAUCGUCAACUUGGUGAUUGGCUGCUGACUUUGCACAACCCUGCCUAGCUUAAAUCCAGUUUACAUAAGAGUUAAAAGACAUCACCCAUAUCAUUUCACUGCUUUAUUAUUUUACCGACUGUUUGUACGUGACCUAUGGUAGAGCCUUCUGAGCUUGUACUGGUCUGAUCAGCCACAGCUGGGACACCUUACACUGACCCCAACAUGUCUCUGGUGACACAAAGGACUUCACAUUCAUGAGCAUAAUAUUAAGUCUCAUUGAUGCAUAUUGACAUGUCAUCUUCAUCAACUCACCCCCAUCCAAACCUUAAGGAAUCCUCUGGUAAUGAACCACACACCAAGGUUCCUGCUGUUUUUACCAGUUCUCUCAACUCAGAUCCACUGAAGGUCCAGAGAGUAUCUUUCCUUAGCUAGAGAACUGUUGCCAUGGCCAAAUAAUUCAUUGCCAAGUAUCCAGCCUGGUGGUGAUAAAGCCUUUGUGUUCUUAGCUCACCUGGUCCCCCAAAGGCAGACUCUGUGAGUCCCUGGGACUGUAAUUGAAGCCUUUCAGAUGAGAAUCACAACAUUUAAGAGAAAGAAUUGACUCCAGAUGCCGUCCGGUCCAACUGCUACCUGAAAAGUAAUCCUCCAAAAAAAGUUCAUCCAGCCUUGCCCCAAGGCCGUUAAUGAAGUACUCAGGCAUACAUUGUUACAGAGAUCUAAUGUUUGGUGUUUUGCUUAGUUAUACUUACAUUAUACUUUCAUGUUACUGCAACCCGGGUUUUUGUGAGGGAGAAUGUUGAUAUACUAUGCAUAUGCCUUAAUGAAGGAUGCAUUGGUGUGAGUGCUUGAGAGAGAAGAGAUAUUUCUUAGUUCUAGAUUCUCUUCUGGGCCAACUCUAGACAUUUGAUGAGAGAAAGACUUUGAAGGCUGGAGACAUACAGGAGAAGCUGGCUUCUUAAUGUGCCUUCUGAUUUCCACAUUGCUUCCUUAGAGACCUUGAGGAAUUUCCUUUUGGGUGAGAUGUGGACACCACAAUUAGAACCUCUUGACUGAAUUGAGAUCUCAUUUUCCUCCCAUCUAAACAACUCAUUUGCUCUGUAUAUUUUCUAAUAUAGUCUAAUCCAGAGGUUUGCAAAGUGUGGUAUGGGAAUUAAAACUGUCCAAACUAUGAUAAAAGAGACUGAGGCAGAGUCUGAGCCAGUGAUACUUUAUUAAAGGGUUCCUGGUCCCCUCUAAUGGAGGGGACCUCAGAUCUGAGAUGCCCCCUUCUUCUGAUACUUGCAAAAGAGGCAUGGUAAAAUACAGACUCUCAUUGGUUGAUAGACCUUGCUCUUGAGGGCCAAAAAUGACAUGUUAGCAAGGGAGUCACGGGUUGGGUGAAGCAUGGGGCGUCUCCACUGACUGAGUGGUCAUAAGAUGGUCACUUGCUCAUCUUGGACAAGAGAGAGAGGUCUGGAGAUAUAAAAAUAAAUUGGGGGACUUUCCAAAGCAUCAAGGCAUCCCAUCCAUGCUAGGUUUGGACAUGGAAUUUGAGUAAAACAGGAUGGAGGUAUCUUUGUCAGCAUGCUUGUAAUUGCACAAGUGAGCCUCAUAACUUGGUAAACAAGUAGUGAACAUUACAUUAAAGUUUAGGCCCCCUAUAAGACUAUCUAUCCCUAUAUGAUUUAUGUAGAACAUCACACUGAUUAAUACUGAUUGGGAUAUAGUAGGGGUCCAAAUGAAUUAUUUCUCACAAUGGCCUAUAGGCCAAAUCCUGGCCCCUGUCUGUUUUCGUAUAGCUCCUGAACUUAGAAAAGUAAGAUGAUUUUUUAAAAAAGAAUUCUUACCUAGCAGGCUAUACAAAAAGAGGCAAUGAUUCAGAUCUGGCCCAAGGGUCAUCAUUUCCCAACCUCUGAUCUAAUCUAUGUGACUUUUCAAACUUCUGUUUGUUGUCUGCUUGGAUAAGUGGCUUUACUCACUAGUCACAAUUUAUGAUAGUCUCCUGUGCAGCCAGUGUUUGGUGGAAAUGAACCAAGUUGCACGGUAAACUUGGAGUACCCUUCUGCCUCAAGUGGCUUUUUGAGUUUAUUGUACUCCUAGACCAGAAAUAUUUCGGUGACAGAUAGGUGUAAUUCUAUUUCUGGCAGUCUUGGGAAAGAGUGUCCAGUCCAGCAGUGCUUGGGGUUUGCCUUCCUCUCCUCUGCCACCUUCCCAAACCCCCAGCUAUUGUGCAGGCUUUCUUCCUCUCUUCUGGGAUGACCUAGACCUCAGAUCAUAUCUAUCAGUGCCUCCCAUAAGCCUUAUUUAGACUACCUGCAUCGACAUAAAUGUCUUACAAGAGCAUACACCCACCUUAUAUCACAAAGAAAUAGACUUCUUAUUCUUCUUUAAAUUUGUUCUUUGGUAAUAUGCAGAAAAUUCAAUCCAUGUUUCUGAGCAAGUUUAGCUCUGAAAAUAAAGAAAAUAUUGGAACUCGUCUUGAGUGUUUGGGCCCUUUCCAUAUCACGAUGAAAAGGACCUGAUAGAAAAGCUGAAGGGAAGGUGUCAUUUGACCAUGGCCUGCAGGGUACUAAUGGGCAUUCCAUCACCAGGGUUAACAUUGGGCAAGUCUCAGUAGAAUCGCCAAAGCACAAUGGAUGUGCUUACCUGAUUUCAAGUCCUCAGCUUCCCUGAAAGCCUGCCUCUGGGAACUGCUUUAUUCGAAUAAACAGGCAGAGAGCCUCAGAAAAACUCACCCCAAGGGCUGAGGAACAGGUUUUGAAGAUCAGUUAGGCUUCUCUCCUUUUUCAAAUUGUUUGUGUAUAUUUUGGACUUACUUGCAAAGUGUACUUGUAUCCAUGCAGUAGAAUGUUAGCUGUUUGAGGGCAAGGGCUGGCUCUUCUUUUUUGUCACUGUACCCACACAUUGAGCACAGUGUCUUGCUUUGCAAGGGCUUAC
This is a non-coding RNA of Phascolarctos cinereus (koala), 4993 nucleotides long. Lineage: Eukaryota; Metazoa; Chordata; Mammalia; Diprotodontia; Phascolarctidae. The record is from RefSeq and is a predicted model, not a curated record.